Molecule: ribosomal RNA, 504 nt
Filed under: uncultured Anaeromusa sp.
Lineage: Bacteria; Bacillati; Bacillota; Negativicutes; Selenomonadales; Sporomusaceae
Description: partial 16S ribosomal RNA
Rfam family: Bacterial small subunit ribosomal RNA
Source: RNAcentral
UCAGCAAUGGAUCUUAGUGGCGAACGGGUGAGUAACGCGUAGGCAAUCUGCCUUCUAGAUGGGGACAACAUCCCGAAAGGGGUGCUAAUACCGAAUGUUGUAAUUGGUUCGCAUGGACUAGCUACUAAAGGUGGCCUCUGAAUAUGCUACCGCUAGAAGAUGAGCCUGCGUCUGAUUAGCUAGUUGGAGGGGUAACGGCCCACCAAGGCUUCGAUCAGUAGCCGGUCUGAGAGGAUGAACGGCCACACUGGGACUGAGACACGGCCCAGACUCCUACGGGAGGCAGCAGUGGGGAAUCUUCCGCAAUGGACGAAAGUCUGACGGAGCAACGCCGCGUGAGUGAAGAAGGUUUUCGGAUCGUAAAGCUCUUUCGUUAGGGACGAACGUGCUCUUUGUGAAUAAUGAGGAGUAAUGACGGUACCUAAAUAAGAAGCCACGGCUAACUACGUGCCAGCAGCCGCGGUAAUACGUAGGUGGCAAGCGUUGUCCGGAAUUAUUGGGCGU